CAACGCUGGCGGCGUGCCUAAUACAUGCAAGUCGAGCGGAAUGAUGAAGAAGCUUGCUUCUUCUGAUUUUAGCGGCGGACGGGUGAGUAACACGUGGGCAACCUACCUUGUAGAUUGGGAUAACUCCGGGAAACCGGGGCUAAUACCGAAUAAUCCAUUUUGCUUCAUGGCGAGAUGUUGAAAGACGGUUUCGGCUGUCACUACAAGAUGGGCCCGCGGCGCAUUAGCUAGUUGGUAGGGUAAUGGCCUACCGAGGCGACGAUGCGUAGCCGACCUGAGAGGGUGAUCGGCCACACUGGGACUGAGACACGGCCCAGACUCCUACGGGAGGCAGCAGUAGGGAAUCUUCCACAAUGGACGAAAGUCUGAUGGAGCAACGCCGCGUGAGUGAAGAAGGUUUUCGGAUCGUAAAACUCUGUUGUAAGGGAAGAACACGUACGAGAGUAACUGCUCGUACCUUGACGGUACCUUAUUAGAAAGCCACGGCUAACUACGUG
RNAcentral lists this ribosomal RNA (497 nucleotides) under uncultured bacterium. RNAcentral's name for it is "bacterial SSU rRNA". It matches the Rfam family "Bacterial small subunit ribosomal RNA", at positions 32 to 507 of the family's 1533-position model. The record is from RNAcentral.